ACAGACUUUAUAAAACAAUCACUGCUUGAUGCUUAAACAUCACUUUAUGGUAUUUCCACUGAUAUUCCAUGUGAUGAUAAUAAAUCACGAUUGUACUUUACUUACUUGUACUUUACUUUACAAUGUUCUUGCAUUGACUGCAUACUUUUCUUAAUUUUUUUUUUGUUGUUGUUCCUUUGGAUUGCACAUGGAAUAAAAAAAGGAGAGAAAUAACUUGAAGAACAUAACCAAAAUAGAAGCAGCAAAAUUACAGUGGUGCUUAGCAGCAGACAAACUUUUCAACACAAUUUUAUUUCAAUUUGUCAGUAUUACUUUAUUCAAGUGCAGCUUUAAAUAUAAACUUGUAGGAAAUGAGAAAGAAUGACUCUAAUGCCCAAAUGCCUCUGGGGAGUACACAUGCGUUGAAUAAAGUGUUUCGUUUUUUUUUUUUUUUUCUUUUGUUUUGUUUUGUUUCUUCUGAUUUUCCAUUUCUGUAGACAUAGCUUGUUUACAACAGCUAAUUUGAGAAAGAAUAUUCUGAACUAGGGAGGGAGAUUGAGAUAGGUAGGUUUUUUUCUUUUUCUUUUUCUUUUUUUUUUUUUUUUACUAAUGAGGUACUCAGGAUCUAUAAAGAAUCCCAGUUCAGCUGACAAUGUUUCACCUGGACCUAACUCCUACAUACUCAGAUGGUGAGUCUUAAGAGCGGGGAAAAUGCCAUCUGGUGAUUCAAAACAAUACAAAACUGAUGGAAUCAAGUUUGUGCGGAUGACAGAUGGAAAUGACCAUCAUCUGAAAUAAAAUUGCCAUAUGUGAUUCAUGGUCCUGAAGAUUCCGAAAACUCUAGCAAAACACUCAACUAUCUUCAUUAUCAUGUUUCUCUUUAAAAUUCUGUACAUUCAUUAUACUGCAACAAAUUACUAUUGCAGGUUUAGCAACAGUGAAUCAUCAUAGAUGCUUUCCCUUGAUCGUAAAAGUGUCAGUGUAUGUGAUGUACACUGCUACAAAAGCUAGGAACCAUACAUAUCACAAUUAAAUAAGGUAUGAGAAUUAUAAACUGUAAUUUCAUCUAUACUUGUGGUUUUAUAUUACACUUUGAACUCUGAUAUGAGGAUUGUGAUUUGCAUGGAUAUUACAUAAUAUAUGUGUAAAACUAGCAAGAAUGUCUGGUAUAUGAAGAAACUAGAGCAGCAAUAAUAGGUUAGAAUAAUAAUUCUAACUAUUUAAGUAGUAAUAACAGUGAGGUGGCUAGUAAGCUGAUAGUGGGUAAAUUGUGGGCCUUGAAGUGUAGAAAGAUCAAAACAAAGAGAAAGGGUGCACUGUGACUCUGAAGAGAAAGAAAAGAGGUAAAAAUGGAAAAAUGUUGUUCCAUAAAUUAAGUUCUUAUUUGGAGUAAAACUAUUUGAGCGAUGUUCUGGUUUGUGAUAUGAGAGAUUAAGCAGCAAAGGGAGUAAGGUAAACUUAACUGUAGCUCACUGCAUUUGUUUAAAGACUCCCAUCUGUAAACAUUUAGUCUGAAUGUUGAUUUUAUUCAUAUUCAGUUGUUUCUUAUAGAGCACAUAUUGUGACAUUGUGGAUUUUUUUAUCAGGACUCCUGAUGAAAAUGUGUAAUAAUAUGUGUAAGCAUUCACUAAAAUUGCUCCUUUAGUUCUAAAACUUAAAUAUUUCUUCAUAAAUGCUGUAAAACAUACAUCUCUGGCAGAUUCCCUUUGAAAUCCGUAGGCAUUUCCAAGAACCAAAAGGGUCAGGCUGUAUAUAUGUUUGUGUAAAAUGAUUCUUCACUAAUAAAUGAAUAAAUAAUGCAGAAAUAACAUGUAAUGACUAGUAUGCAAUGUUUUCUAAUUUUUGAUUUGUAUGUUUAAAAAUAAUUUAGUACAGAGUUGCGUUUAUAUAUUGCUGUUGAUAAAGAUAUUUUUUACUUGAAAGUCAUUUUAAAAGAGGAAAAAGCAUAAAGAAAAGAAUGUCCCACUGAACACUUGUGGAUCUGUAUGUGCUCAUACAAGUGUCUUUUGCAUAAAAUUUCUAAACAUCUACCAAAUGUGAGCUCAAGGUGUCUUGUCAUACACUGUGAAGUUAUAAUACUUUUUGUACAAAGACUCAGCGCCACAGACAGUAAUGCAACAAAGCAAUAUUUCUCAACCAAAUCCUGUUUUGCAAUCCCUUUUGACUUGCUUGUUACAUGUUAUGUAUUCUGAUCUUCUCCAUUAGUAUAUAUCCGUGUCUGGUAAUUUAAACCUUGGUGUAAUUCUGUCUUUACAGAGGAUUACUGUACUCUAAUAUUGUUUGUAUGACAUGUAUAGGUAACCUCAUCCAUAAUAUACAGUAUCUACAUUUUAAGGCAAUAAGACAAGGUGGUGAUUCUUUAAAUUGACGUGCAAUCACUGGUUGGGUCAGAGUGAGUUUCCAUGGAAUGAAAACCCUACAGUUCACCUUGAUAAUGAGAACAGGCAUAGAUGUUUAAUUUAUUCAUUUCUUUUCGCUUGGAGGGUCAGAAUGAACUGGUAUCUUCAUUUCUGCUUCUAUAAGUUUUCAAAUGAGUUUCGCUUUUUGGUUUUCAAAUAAUAUUUAAUUUGAAGUAUCAAAAGAACAAAAUUAAACCCUAGGUGUCUAUACAAAGUUGAGAAUGAAUAAAAGAUAAAUUCUGUUCAUUGUAAAUUUCAAUAACAACAGUCUAAUUUGAAUGCAGCUUAACUAUUUCAGAAGUCAGUUGACGGUCAAAGCCAAUAUUACUAUGAAGUCUGAAGUGAAAGCAAUCAUCCUUUUGGUAACUGGGACAGAUGAUGACCUUUCUGCAUUCCUUGUGAUUAGAAGAGCAAAGAACUUUUUCCUUAAAGUAAAGAAAUCAUAAACCAGAUGUAUCGAGUUCUGUUCAUAGAAUGGGAAAAUUCUAUGGUAUGCUUUCACCUUGUCUUAAACCAAAAGGCAUUUCAAGAACUGACUGAUGAAUUUCCAGCACAAACAACAGAUCUAAACUUUGACUGACUGGAGUAUUUAAGAAGUGAAUAGGGAAUUUAGGAAGUGAUUUGAAUACUAGGACUCAGUGAUCAUUUAAAGCUGGGUCCUCUUUGGAAGACCAAUGCUGCAGUAGUAUUCCCUGUGGACAGCAUGUGCUGCAACAGGAGCUGUACCAACCUGUGAGAUGAAACAGCACAUCCCCAUCUGUUGCUGGCCAGCUGUCCUGUGCAUCCCCCUCCUUUUCCUGAGAUCAGCCUGACAGCAGUACUUAUGCUCUCAAGCUAUCAUGCAGUUGAGCUGCAAACUGGAUACAAAAAGGGAAAGAUGUUCUUCUUAGCAGUCAUUUGUCCAGAAAUCAGUGUCUGGGUGUGUUGGGCUUUCUAGCUCUUGUCCAGAAAGAAUAAUUAGCUUGUGUUUGAGCCCCUCAACAGCUGAAGAGUCUUUUCCUUGAGGCAAGAAUAUAGCAAGAAUACAGCCUUUGUUGGAAGAGAUAAUGACAUUGUUUAUUGAGGAUUUUUAUAGGGAAUAUUGUCUGAAGAAAUGAGUAUUUUCCUGGUAACCACCAUUUCACAGUGCUUAGUAGCAAACUAUUUUAGAUUUAGUUAAAUUUGCCAUUGCCUACUCUUAAGAAAUUUUUUAUCACUUAGCCUCCAAAGAAUAACUCCUGCAUUUGAUAAUAAUAAUUACUCUGUUUUUCAAAAUAGUUAAUUUUUGCAGCAUGUUCAGGAAAUACUUAAACCACUGACAGUGGCUGCAAAAUAUGGCAGUCCACAAGGUGUCCUCUGAAAUCUAGAUCUGUGGGAGAAGGAUUAAAAGCUUAAAACCCACCUCUUUAGUGCCUGUCUUAAGAGAAAGGAAUACUGGCAUGGCUGCAAGCCAAUUUGAGAAAUGAGACUUUUUUUUUCCCUUAUUUUUUCUACUUUCCAGAUGAAGUUCAAAGUGCAUUGUAGGCAAGUACACUCUUUCUGGAUUUGCAUUGAAAAGUUGCAUCAUUAAACAAAAAAAGAAACUUUAUCCUUUAGAUGCACAGAAAAGGAAGAAUUAAAAUGUUGUAGGAAAUUCUUACAACUUAUCUUCUGAAACAAACUAUUGUUAAUUUUUGUGUAAUUACUUUUUCCCUUGAAACCUUCUCAGAGGAGCAGGACUAGUCAGUAAUUAGUAAGUAGUAUGUUAUUAUUUUAAAUACAUGCAGAGGUCAUUAAGAGAAAUCCUCUUUAGAAAUCCUAUUUAAGGGCUAGUUUCACUGGUCUGACAACAUGUUUUAUAGUCUCUGUCCCUUGCAAGAACAUGAAAGCUGACAAAGAACGACAAAGCUCACAUUCGAUGUCAAAUUAAUGUCCCAAUCAGCUCAAUAUACCAUUCCCAAAAGAAGUUGGCUGGAUAUGUGUAGUCUGUAAAAAAAAAAAACAGGGAACAUCUAUUAUGGUUUGAUGUCCGUCAUGUCCUGUGACAAGGAGCUCCCCUUUGUGAAAUUGAGAAGUGUUUGCAUGAAGUGUUGUGUCAUUUUUCUGUUCUCUUCCACUGCUGUCACAUUCAUUAAAGCUGAAACUCUUGCUCUUAUUGACAGUAAACUUCAGGUAUUUAUGAAAAAAGAAAAUAUAUUUGAUAAUAUAUUGUGAAUAUUUUUGGCUUAGUCUUUUUGUUUGUUUUGCAGCCUGCACUUCCUUGGGAAUGAAGACCUGGGGAAAUGCUGGUGCAGCCUGGGUAGUCAGUGUGCUACUGGAAGGGAACCUGUCCUGGUAGGAUGCACAGAGCAGCAAGUGCUCCCAGGAAAACAGUUAGGAGGUUUAUCACACAUAUGCCUAUGCUGUUGGCUGGCACAUGUCUGAAGACAUCUGAGUUAGGGCUCAAGAAGGAAAACUUAAACUACAUUUCAAAUGGCAGGUUGAUGCAAAUUCAUCUUGAGGUCAUUGUAGCAGGAAGGCAGUUCCUAGCUCAAGUGAUCUGCAUUGCUGGUGUGUGAGGUGGAGGGGAGACAGAAGAGCAAAAAUUGAAUAGUUCCUCUGUGGGGAUGAAAGUCUCUUUGACGUACUUUGGUUUUCUCCCUUCAUGCAGUGGGAACUGUGGCAGUCAAGAAGUGAAUGUGAGACCUUGAGACAUGCAAUAGAAAGGUGAAGGACUAAGGAGGUAAUGGAGAUAAUAUGAUUUAGGGGACAGCUGACUGAACAAAAUUGAGAAGACUCCACGAGUGACAGCUAGAAAACCCUUUAGUUUGUUGGGUUUUGGAUUAGGACAAUUGAGAUAGGGUUAUAAGAAGGUGAAUCAGCAUGGUGACCUGAGAUUAGCUACUCAAGUGCAGAAGUUAAACUGUGAAACGGAAAGCCGUUUCCCCAAAUAGUUUUAUAACAACUAUUCAAUUUGAGAGUUGGCAUCAUUAACAUUUGAAAAGAUCUGUUUGAAUGAGGGCAAAAUUACACCCUCUGCAAAUCAGAAGACAAAGGAAGAAGCAAUUUUUCCUUUUAUGCACCUUCAUCCUCACAAAACAGGCACUUCAAAAAUAUAUUGAAUAGUGAAAUAAAGAAAGGUGGAAGAAGGAGAAUAAAUUCUGCUUAGUGACAAACCAAGAAUUGAUUAAAAAAAAAAAAAGUGUUUUAAUCAAGUCUGACACUAUGAACACUUUAACUUAUAUCAUGUGUAGACCAUCACUGUCCUAAAGUGACCAGCAAAAUGAAAAAAAAAAAAAUACAUUUAAGUGCCUUAGAGUGUUUGUUUACAUAUCUUAGGUGACUUGGGUUAUCUAUCUAUCUGUCUAUCUAGCUAUCUAUCUGUCUGUUUAGUAAGAUGGGAUUUUCAGAGUUUAUGAACUGACUUUUAAGUUCAUUACAAUUCAUAAAAUUACUGUUCUGUCCUGAUCUUAAAUUCAAAAUGACUUAUUUUUUAACUGGGAAAUAGGAAAAGAUGUAGAAAGGAAGGCAAUUCUGUAGAUUAGGAAUUUUUCUAUUAGCAAUGAACUCACUUCACAUGUUAUUAGGAAACUCAUUUAUAGCAAUAAGUAUGAAACGCACCAUUGAAGCAAACCUUAAUGUUCUUUGUUUAGUAAUCCAUCUCUGACUCACAAGGAAGACUUAGUACAAUGUAUGAAAAUAUUGAAGAGUUAAUUACUGUCUAUUGAAAAGCCUUGUGGGAUGCAUUUCAUCCUUCACAGAAGACACAUUGUUUUCUGUCCCACAGUAAGUACUUUAUGUGUUCAAAAUGAUCCCAUGGUAUUCAUUUCUGACUUGGCAAAAAGGAUUUAGAAUUAGAUCAACAGUGUGUAGUAACAUCUGACUGCAUAGUGCAGCUGAAUUACUCGUGUGAUAGCAGUAAGAAAAGAAAAUGGCAAGCAAAUAUACAUGAUUUUAGGCUCAGAGGCCCAGUAUUCAUGUGCAACACUGGUUAAACAGACUGACAAAGCAGAGGCAGUCUAAGAUGUGUUAAUACAGGGAAAAUAUAAUUAGAUCCAAAGUAAAAGUUACUAUAACUCAAGCAGCAGAUCUAAACAAUAAAAUUGUGCUAGGCCUGUGUGUAAUCAAAUCAUACUGUAAGACUGGUGAUUUGCUGAGUACUGUACUGUUGAACUGAAAGUAUUGAAAAGAAAUUACAGAAGCAAACUCUUAAAAGCCAGAUGUAUUAUGCAUUAUCACAAUUAAAUACAUCAAUUACAAAAAAGGGACUUUAUUGGUUAUUGCAGUUCACCUAUCAGCAGAGUAACAGCAUUGAAUCUAAAGACUGAAGUGUAACAACUGAUAUCUGUUCUUCACUUCAGACUGAGAGGUGGCUGAAGGGCAAGUUAACCUCAAGGUCGUUUAUGCUUGAAUUUCCAUGUCUCGCAGGGGAGACGUUCUUUAGCUAAAUAUAAAUUCCUCAUCUCUCCUUCCUUGCUAACUGUAAGAGUGCACAAGUUGAAUUUUUUUCUUGUCUGUGAAUACUGAAGAAGACCAAUUAAUUUUCUUUUCUCUCAUGUAUUCAUUCAUUCAUCCCUCUGUUUUCCCCAUCCCCUUCCUCCCCUUUCAUCUACAUCCAAGAUACUCCUGAAGCUUUGUAGCAUCCCUUACUUUUAAAAAAGAAACUCAGGAUGGCAAUGAUUUUGAGAUUCUAAACAUUGAUGAUGAUAUCUUCCCAAAGUCUUUAUCUGUAGUAAUUUUUUUGACUUUGUUAUGAUUUUUAGUUCUUUAGCCCCAAAUUCGUCAUGAUGAAAUGACAAUGCAGCUAGUGUAAGAUCUGCCAGUUUAUUUUGUCUAGUUAUCUGUAUAUCAUCUGGGGCCUUCUUUCUAUGCAUUGGUAUUAGAGAAAGAAGGAGUACUUCCAGUGUUUCCUCAUUUCUUAUGAAGAUAAUGUCUGAACUUGUUUCCAGAGCAUGGGUUUCUUUGUGAGUAUUACAUGUGUAGCGAAGAUAAAACAGGGUUUUUUCUGAACUUGUGGCAUGAGUCAUAUGUGCCUAGCUACACAUUUUUGGCAACUUCCUGAUCUUUUCUUCCACUGCACUGUAUAAAUGGUACAAAUGUGAUUCUGCCAACUCAGAACUGAAAAGAUUUAUCCAACAUUAGAAAUACUGGAUUUCCAGAAGUCAUGUCACCACAGAAACAAUUCCUGAGAGGAGAAAUCUUACAUCAUUACAGAUUACAAAAAUUGCUUUGCAUUAUUUUAAUGUUGCUCCAAAAUUUACACAUUUCCUUUAUUUCUUUUAAAUGCUGAAUUUUAUCUGUUAAAUUCCUAUGCUUUUUCUUUUCUUCACCUUGAUUUCUUCUCCUUCUUCACGUUUAUAUUAGUAACCAGAAGUACCCUAUUUAUUUAAACACGCACCAUGAUAAAAUCCAACUUUAUUUCACAGACAUUUCAAAGACACAUCCACCUUUUGUUGUUUUGUGAGCUCCUAACAUCUCCGUGAACAGAGAAGCAGCUUUAUUUAUUUCUUAUACGCUGUAAGUGAGGAAGAAGUCUGCUACAAAUAAUAAAUUGAUGCCACUAUGAUAUAACAAUCAAAAAUCAGCAGAUUCUGAUGGCCUAAAUCCUGCUUUACAAAAUUCUCAUUUCAGCAUCUAGUGUCAUCUGCAUAGCUGUAGUACUGAUAAAUAAUCAUUUGUUUGUGAAAUUCAUGUAACUCGCAGACUACCAAAUAGUUUUAGAAGUACUUGAAAUAACAACUACAGUUCCAGCUUCUGUGAAGCAAUCGUUUACCAAGGCUUUCCUCUCAACUUUUGUCAUGUGUGACUUUCACGAGGUUUCUUUUAUUGCCCUGUGCAGUUGCCAUAAUAACAGCAGAUCUGUUGUUAGAAACCUCAAGCUGUAUUUGUUACAGGCAUACCAUGCAAGUAGGAAAAUUGUAUUUACGCUUUGACAUAGUGCAGCAUAACUUGGUUCGUGCAUCUGGAUUCAGCCAGCUGGGGGUGGUUCAGCAAGUUACUCUGUUAGUAUGAAAUUUACUUCCUUAUCAUUUUUGAUGGACCAUUAAUUACUCCUGUCAAAUAGUAGCAGGGGAAUUUGUAGUUUGAGUCCUGAAGAAAUGUAGGAUUCUUUCCAUGAGUCUGUGUAUGGAGUAAAACUGAGAAUGGUUUUGGUUUGCUUGAAUUUUGCUUUUUUCCUUUUGACAUAAUUUCCAGUGCUGGUCAUUGUGCUUUAGUUGCCUUAUGGCUUGUAUUUCAUAAAGUAUUAUAUAUAUAUGUGUGACAUGCUUACAUGGGUUUUGCUAGUUGUGUCAUAUAAAUGUUUCUCUUGGAUAUGAAAUAGUUUGAUCCCAAACUUCAUUUUUGUUAUCGGUAGGAAGUUUCAUAUAUUUCCACAGAAUUAACAUUUCAAUUUUGAAAAAGAAUAACAUUUAUAGUUAUUAUUAUAAUUAUUAUUAUUAUUAUAGUUAUUAUUAUUAUAGUUGAAUUCCUCAUUCUCUUAGUUUAAAUCCCUGGGAAUUUUUCCUUCAGCU
Molecule: long non-coding RNA, 8827 nt
Filed under: Gallus gallus (chicken)
Lineage: Eukaryota; Metazoa; Chordata; Aves; Galliformes; Phasianidae
Source: RNAcentral